GGAGAGUUGGCAGAGUGGUCGAAUGCGGCGGUCUUGAAAACCGUUGUGCCGUAAGGUACCAGGGGUUCGAAUCCCUUACUCUCCG
This 85-nucleotide transfer RNA is filed under the name Flavobacteriales bacterium AH-315-E23. Its description in RNAcentral is "tRNA-Ser". It matches the Rfam family "tRNA". From Rfam's summary of the family: Transfer RNA (tRNA) molecules are approximately 80 nucleotides in length. Their secondary structure includes four short double-helical elements and three loops (D, anti-codon, and T loops). The record is from RNAcentral. Lineage: Bacteria; Pseudomonadati; Bacteroidota; Flavobacteriia; Flavobacteriales.